This 497-nucleotide ribosomal RNA is filed under the name uncultured bacterium. RNAcentral's name for it is "partial 16S ribosomal RNA". It matches the Rfam family "Bacterial small subunit ribosomal RNA", at positions 28 to 507 of the family's 1533-position model. The record is from RNAcentral.
GACGAACGCUGGCGGCGUGCCUAAUACAUGCAAGUUGAGCGCUGAAGGUUGGUACUUGUACCGACUGGAUGAGCAGCGAACGGGUGAGUAACGCGUGGGGAAUCUGCCUUUGAGCGGGGGACAACAUUUGGAAACGAAUGCUAAUACCGCAUAAAAACUUUAAACACAAGUUUUAAGUUUGAAAGAUGCAAUUGCAUCACUCAAAGAUGAUCCCGCGUUGUAUUAGCUAGUUGGUGAGGUAAAGGCUCACCAAGGCGAUGAUACAUAGCCGACCUGAGAGGGUGAUCGGCCACAUUGGGACUGAGACACGGCCCAAACUCCUACGGGAGGCAGCAGUAGGGAAUCUUCGGCAAUGGACGAAAGUCUUACCGAGCAACGCCGCAUGAGGGAAGAAGGAUUUCGGAUCGUAAAACUCGGUUGGUAGAGAAGAACGUUGGUGAGAGUGGAAAGCUCAUCAAGUGACGGUAACUACCCAGAAAGGGACGGCUAACUACGUG